Long non-coding RNA from Patella vulgata (common limpet), 1633 nucleotides. RefSeq lists it as uncharacterized. The record is from RefSeq and is a predicted model, not a curated record. The transcript has 3 exons. Lineage: Eukaryota; Metazoa; Mollusca; Gastropoda; Patellidae.
AGGUUAUACAAGACUAAAACUCGUCAUUAAUACACUAUACAUAGACUGUGUUUUUCCAAUGGGUAAUUUUUAUAGAACCCCCUUGAUCUAGUGUUAUACAGUUCUGUUUGUCUUUAGUAAGGUUCUAAGGGAACUCUAGUAGAAGAAAGUUGUCAUAGAAUAAUAAGGAUAAGAAGAAUGGCCACCCCAAUAUCAACCGUUACCAACAAUACCUACAACACAAUGUAUAAUAUACAUGGUGAUUGUCAAGCUGUACAGAUUGGAACAUCAAACACAAUAAAUGAAACUACUAACCAGACCGACAGUGAUGAUUGCACAUCCGAUAUGGAAGAUUUGAGAUUCCAGAUGAAUCGGAUAAAGGAACAAUUUGAACGAAAAGAUGAAGAAAUAGCUGAACAAUCAGAAGUCAAGACAAACACCAACACUAAUACUAGACGUUAUAUCAGGGAUACGAGUAAUGAUAUUAUUCUAAAGUUAGUUAACAUAUAUAGAGGUACAGAUAUGGGUACUAUAACUGUCAGUAAGAAAGUCAGUGCUAAUGAUUUAAUGAAGUUGAUAGAAGAGAAGAAGAAUGAGAAGAGUAGUGUGUUUGAUAUAGCAGGAUAUAGAGAUGGUAGUGUGAGAGAGAUCUACGACAGUUGUAGCAACAAGAACGACUAUAGCCUGGAACAACUUGGUGUUGUAGACCAGGACCAGGUUCUAUACUGUUGCUAGUAAAAUAUAGAGAUUAUAUUGAUAUGAUGUAUUUAUGGUCUCCUUUAUAUUGAACAAUGAGGGGGGGGGGGGGGGGUAGAUAUUACUUAUAGUAAAAUAUAAUGGACGAACCAGAACGAGGUUAGGUAUUAUUAUCUUAUUGUCUCUUGAUUAGGUUGUGAGGGUGGAAUAAAGUAAAAUGUUUGAGUGGUGUUGUGGGUGAUGUGGUGUGGUGGAGUGGGUGCUAAGUUAGUGAAGAGAUUUAUCAACCACACCAGCACCCUAGUAUUUAACCAAGUAUCUUAUACCCCCCCCCACCACCACCCCCAUGAUUGAUAUAUUGAAUCUUACUCUAAGUAAUAUCUAACCUGUCCCAACUGUCCACCUGUUAGUAUUUAACCAAGUAUCUUAUACCCCCCCCCCCCAACCCCCAUGAUUGAUAUAUUGAAUCUUACUCUAAGUAAUAUCUUACCUGUCGCACCUGUCCCACCUGAUUGAUAUAUUGAAUCUUACUCUAAGUAAUAUCUUACCUGUCUCACCUGUCCCACCUGAUUGAUAUAUUGAAUCUUACUCUAAGUAAUAUCUAACCUGUCCCAACUGUCCACCUGUCCCACCUGUUAGUAUUUAACCAAGUAUCUUAUACCCCCAACCCCCAUGAUUGAUAUAUUGAAUCUUACUCUAAGUAAUAUCUUACCUGUCUCACCUGUCCCACCUGAUUGAUAUAUUGAAUCUUACUCUAAGUAAUAUCUAACAUCCUAAUAUAAAACUAGCUUACUACUGUAAAUAGAGCUGUAAUUCAAUAGUCACGAUUAUCAGGUGAUAUGUAGUCGUGAUCAUGUGAUAACUAACUGACAUGUAUAUAAUAUAUAAUUAUAUUAGUGAAACAAUGUUUUAUAUUUUGUAUUCUAAUUUUGUUUCAAUAAAAUAUUUUAUAACUAAA